GCUAAUCUCCCAUAGGUUUAGGGCACUGGAAGGUCCCUAAACCGAAAGGGGCUCUGCCCGCCCGAGGAUGGGCCGGCGGCCGAUUAGGUAGUUGGUGGGGUAACGGCCCACCAAGCCCAUAAUCGGUACGGGCAGUGAGAGCUGGAGCCCGGAGAUGGACACUGAGACACGGGUCCAGGCCCUACGGGGCGCAGCAGGCGCGAAACCUCCGCAAUGCUCGAAAGAGCGACGGGGGGACCCCAAGUGCCGUGGUACAACCACGGCUUUUCCGGAGUGUAAGAAGCUCCGGGAAUAAGGGCUGGGCAAGGCCGGUGGCAGCCGCCGCGGUAAUACCGGCGGCCCGAGUGGUGGCCACUAUUAUUGGGCCUAAAGCGUCCGUAGCCGGGCUUGUAAGUCCCUGGCGAAAUCCCACGGCUCAACCGUGGGGCUUGCUGGGGAUACUGCAAGCCUUGGGACCGGGAGAGGCCGGGGGUACUCCUGGGGUAGGGGUGAAAUCCUAUAAUCCCAGGAGGACCGCCAGUGGCGAAGGCGCCCGGCUGGAACGGGUCCGACGGUGAGGGACGAAGGCCAGGGGAGCAAACCGGAUUAGAUACCCGGGUAGUCCUGGCUGUAAAGGAUGCGGGCCAGGUGUUGCUUGGACCUCGAGUCC
This 649-nucleotide ribosomal RNA is filed under the name uncultured archaeon. RNAcentral's name for it is "bacterial SSU rRNA". It matches the Rfam family "Archaeal small subunit ribosomal RNA", at positions 145 to 792 of the family's 1478-position model. The record is from RNAcentral.